This 252-nucleotide ribosomal RNA is filed under the name uncultured bacterium. RNAcentral's name for it is "partial 16S ribosomal RNA". It matches the Rfam family "Bacterial small subunit ribosomal RNA", at positions 524 to 776 of the family's 1533-position model. The record is from RNAcentral.
UACGGGGGGAGCAAGCGUUGUUCGGAUUUACUGGGCGUAAAGGGCGCGUAGGCGGCGUGACAAGUCACUUGUGAAUCUCCGGGCUUAACUCGGAACGGUCAAGUGAUACUGUCGUGCUAGAGUACAGAAGGGGCAACUGGAAUUCUCGGUGUAGCGGUGAAAUGCGUAGAUAUCGAGAGGAACACCUGCGGCGAAGGCGGGUUGCUGGGCUGAUACUGACGCUGAGGCGCGAAAGCUAGGGGAGCGAACGGG